Molecule: transfer RNA, 72 nt
Filed under: Phrynosoma platyrhinos (Desert horned lizard)
Lineage: Eukaryota; Metazoa; Chordata; Lepidosauria; Squamata; Phrynosomatidae
Description: tRNA-OTHER
Source: RNAcentral
GCCAGCAUGGCAUAGUGGUUUAAGUGUUGGACUAUGACUCUGGAGACCAGGGUUCGAUUUCCAGCUCCGCCA